CUGUGUGCACCAUGGCCUGGACUCCUCUCCUCCUCGUGCUCCUCUCUCACUGCACAGGUUCCCUCUCCCAGCCUGUGCUGACUCAGCCGCCCUCCCUGUCUGCAUCUCCGGGAGCCCCAGCCAGACUCACCUGCACCCUGAGCAGUGGCUUCAGUGUUGGCAGCUAUGCUAUAUUCUGGUACCAGCAGAAGCCAGGAGGUCCUCCCCGGUAUCUGCUGUCCUACCACACAGACUCAAACAAGCAUCAGGGCUCCGGGAUCUCCAGUCGCUUCUCUGGAUCCAAAGACUCCUCAGCCAAUGCAGGGCUCCUGACCAUCUCUGGGCUGCAGGCUGAGGACGAGGCCGACUAUUACUGUGGUAUAGGUCAUGGCAGUGGGAGCAGCUACAGUUACUCACAGUGGCUCAGAUGACGAGGAAGUGAGACA
Non-coding RNA from Phyllostomus hastatus (greater spear-nosed bat), 425 nucleotides. NCBI's taxonomy places the organism in Eukaryota, Metazoa, Chordata, Mammalia, Chiroptera, Phyllostomidae. The record is from the annotation of a RefSeq genome assembly.